UGUAUGUGUGUGUGUGUGUGUGUGUGUGUAUGUUAAAAAAGCAACAAUACUGUACAAAACACUGUGUAAUUUAUUAAUUUAUGCUUACUUUUACAAGUAGACAGAGGUUUGUACAGUAUUGGUGUCUUUUAAUUUGAAUCAUGAAUUAUGGUAAUGCAAUUUUUUGGUUGAAAUGUGCAUAAAAGUCAAGACAAUGUCAAAGGAUCUUAAUGAAUGAAAUAUGGCCAGAACUGUUCUUCAGUUUUCAUGAGACUCACCCAACUACUUUAAUUUUAGGCUUUACCAACAAUCUCUUUUGUAAGAAAUUAGGGCUGGGCGAUAUGUGAAAAUUAAAAAUUAAAUAAAAAAAAUUAACUAGUCAACAUGAAAAUUCAACUGCAACAUGAUUCAAGUAACUUGUUCUUUCUUAACCCUCUUAAUAAAGAAAAUUCUAUUCCAAGUGCAGCACACAUGAAGUUUUCAACAUGAUGUAAAUGUUAACUACAUCUUAUAGAAACCUGUCUAAUACAUAUUAUAUGUUCAGAAAUAAUACAAGAAAAAUACUUUUUAAAAUUUUUUAAAUCGAAUUAAUCAAUAAAAUCAGAAAAAUCACCCAGCCCUACAAGAAAUAUAGAAACUCAAAACACUAAGUUUCCUUCUGUCAUUAUAUUAAAUCUCAUCUCACGUUAGCAUGAUGAAGCAUUUAGAAGGAAUCCACGGAUUAAGAUAAAACAGGAAGUGCAUUACAAAGAAUACGUGUGGUCUUUGAAAGCCAACAUGGAGUCAUAUACCGUAGGACGGCUGAGGUGUUUUUGAGAGAACAUAUUGUACUGGUGUAAUGAAUAUGGUGUGUGAGAUUCAUAAAAGGAUUCACUGCAGAAGAUAGAAACUGUAAGAUUUUGUUUUGUUUUUGUCUUUGUUUUGGAAUACCAAAAUAUUAUACUGACAUCAUUGAACAAGUGACACAGAUAAUGUCAUAGCAAAUUGUAUUUAUUUAUUUCUAAAGUGUAUUUUCUAUAAUUAUCUAUUAUGCAGCUUUAAAUAAAUGUCCUUACUUAAAAAAAGGAAAAUUUGAGUUUUUCUUUUUUCUUUUCAAAAAAAAAAGAAAGAAAUUCAUUGUAUGUUAAUACACUUCUUUUCAAAAGUUUGAAGUGGUAAUAUUGUCAAAUAUUAUUACAAAAUUAAAAAUAAAAGUCUUCAGUGUCACAUGAUCCUUCAGAAAUCACUCUAAUAUACUGAUUUGCUGCUCAAGAAACAUUUCUUGUUAUUAUUAUCAAUGUUGAAAACUUUUAUGCUGCUUCAAAGCCUGAUUCUUUGAAGAAUAGAAAUUUAAAAAGAACAGCAUUUAUUUAAAUUGGAAUUAUUUUCCAACAUUAUAAAUAUCCUGUUUUGUCACUUUUGGAUGCUACACAGCUACAGUUCACCGAAUUAUGAAUGCCAUGUAAUAUCAUUUAUUCAAUAAUAAGAGACUGGGGGGAGAGAGUGGGGUUAAAAUGUACAGGAUGUGAAUAAUUGUUUGGUUUCUUGACAUCAGUGUUCUGAUGAUGCAAACUCGUUUUGCAUAUUACCCAAAUGACUAUUUUGUUGUAUUUCCUCAGUUGCUACACUUAUGGAUAUUUCCCCAAUAAUCCAUUGAAAUUAA
Cyprinus carpio carpio is the source of this 1621-nucleotide long non-coding RNA. NCBI's taxonomy places the organism in Eukaryota, Metazoa, Chordata, Actinopteri, Cypriniformes, Cyprinidae. The record is from Ensembl.